Molecule: ribosomal RNA, 492 nt
Filed under: uncultured bacterium
Lineage: Bacteria
Description: partial 16S ribosomal RNA
Rfam family: Bacterial small subunit ribosomal RNA
Source: RNAcentral
AGUGAACGCUGGCGGUAGGCCUAACACAUGCCAGUCGAACGGCAGCACAGUAAGAGCUUGCUCUUACGGGUGGCGAGUGGCGGACGGGUGAGGAAUACAUCGGAAUCUACUUUUUCGUGGGGGAUAACGUAGGGAAACUUACGCUAAUACCGCAUACGACCUACGGGUGAAAGCAGGGGAUCUUCGGACCCUGCGCGAUUGCAUGAGCCGAUGUCGGAUUAGCUAGUUGGCGGGGUAAAGGCCCACCAAGGCGACGAUCCGUAGCUGGUCUGAGAGGAUGAUCAGCCACACUGGAACUGAGACACGGUCCAGACUCCUACGGGAGGCAGCAGUGGGGAAUAUUGGACCAUGGGCGCAAGCCUGAUCCAGCCAUACCGCGUGGGUGAAGAAGGCCUUCGGGUUGUAAAGCCCUUUUGUUGGGAAAGAAAAUCAGCAGGUUAAUACCCCGCUGUUCUGACGGUACCCAAAGAAUAAGCACCGGCUAACUUCGUG